ACUAAUUUUUUCUAUAUGGUUCAUGAUUUUUUUAUGCCACUAUUAUGUUUCUUGAUGAUCUCAAAUUUGGCUUUAUAAAGGGAAAUCUCUCAAAAUGUUAUGUGAUAUAAAUCACUUGUAUAAACUGUAUGAAUCACCUCAACGAUUGUGAGUCGUCGUACAUUUUAGACGAGUAAUUUGUGCGCAUUCACCUUUCAACAUUUUUUUAAACAAUUUUGAAAGGUCUGGUUCCAUUUUUAGUUACUUCUUUUAUUUUGGAUCUGUGCAAAUUGCCACCUAAAAUAUGACUUAUGGUGAAAAGAAAAGAGUUAUACUUCUCCUACCUUUGCCUUUAAAGUCUGCUCUACUAGAGGUCUCAUUUUGCUCUGGUUCCCAGGCUUACCACUGGGUAGAUUAAGACCCAGUUGAUAGAGGAUGUUGUCGUCCUUUUCUGUAAUCUUUUUCUGUUCUGUUCGUUUCGUUGCAUAUGUGAGUAUUUUCCUGUAUAUUAAAGGUGUUAGUCUUUUAGAUUUAUAUUUAAAUUAUAUCUUAUACCUUAUAAAAAAUAUGUAUAUUAAAUUAAAUGUCGAUUCUGCAAGUUAUUUCAAGUGCAUAUUAGUGCGAAAACACUUGGGCUUUAAACAAUUACCUGAUUUCCUUAAUUUGGCAUUGUAGAGAUGGGUAAUUUUACCUGUUUGUUAGGGACAUUUCUUCAUUCUUUGUGAAAUUAUUGUAUCUUCUGCACCACAUUGUAAAAGAAUAG
Lycium ferocissimum is the source of this 742-nucleotide long non-coding RNA. RefSeq lists it as uncharacterized. Lineage: Eukaryota; Viridiplantae; Streptophyta; Magnoliopsida; Solanales; Solanaceae. The record is from RefSeq and is a predicted model, not a curated record. The transcript is spliced from 2 exons.